Gossypium raimondii (Peruvian cotton) is the source of this 131-nucleotide non-coding RNA. NCBI's taxonomy places the organism in Eukaryota, Viridiplantae, Streptophyta, Magnoliopsida, Malvales, Malvaceae. The record is from Rfam.
UGUUAAAAAAUUCAUCCAUUCAUACAGUUAAAAUAGACGUGACUGAAGGAAUAUCUAGAUAGUGAGACUCCACAUGUACCUCAUGUUGAUGUAUUGAUUUUUAACAGUAGAAAUGGAUAGAAUUUUUAACA